CGUUCCCGGGCCUUGUACACACCGCCCGUCACACCGACGAAAGCGAGCAACACCCGAAGCCGGUGGCCUAACCGCAAGGAGGGAGCCGUCGAAGGUGGGCCCGUGAUUGGGGUG
RNAcentral lists this ribosomal RNA (114 nucleotides) under uncultured bacterium. RNAcentral describes it as "partial 16S ribosomal RNA". It matches the Rfam family "Bacterial small subunit ribosomal RNA", at positions 1369 to 1482 of the family's 1533-position model. The record is from RNAcentral.